This 253-nucleotide unclassified non-coding RNA is filed under the name uncultured Halomonadaceae bacterium. RNAcentral's name for it is "contains 16S-23S intergenic spacer region". It matches the Rfam family "Bacterial small subunit ribosomal RNA", at positions 524 to 776 of the family's 1533-position model. Lineage: Bacteria; Pseudomonadati; Pseudomonadota; Gammaproteobacteria; Oceanospirillales; Halomonadaceae. The record is from RNAcentral.
UACGGCGGGUGCAAGCGUUAAUCGAAAUUACUGGGCGUAAAGCGCGCGUAGGUGGCUUGAUAAGCCGGUUGUGAAAGCCCCGGGCUCAACCUGGGAACGGCAUCCGGAACUGUCAGGCUAGAGUGCAGGAGAGGAAGGUAGAAUUCCCGGUGUAGCGGUGAAAUGCGUCGCGAUCGGGAGGAAUACCAGUGGCGAAGGCGGCCUUCUGGACUGACACUGACACUGAGCUGCGAAAGCGUGGGUAGCAAACAGG